Schistosoma mansoni is the source of this 46-nucleotide non-coding RNA. NCBI's taxonomy places the organism in Eukaryota, Metazoa, Platyhelminthes, Trematoda, Strigeidida, Schistosomatidae. The record is from Rfam.
GCACUGCUUAAGAGUCCCAUGAUGGGACGAAACGGCCGUCCAGUGU